RNAcentral lists this ribosomal RNA (253 nucleotides) under uncultured bacterium. RNAcentral describes it as "partial 16S ribosomal RNA". It matches the Rfam family "Bacterial small subunit ribosomal RNA", at positions 524 to 776 of the family's 1533-position model. The record is from RNAcentral.
UACGGAGGGUGCAAGCGUUGUUCGGAAUUAUUGGGCGUAAAGGGCGUGUAGGCGGCCUCGUAAGUCUGAUGUGAAAGCCCCGGGCUCAACCUGGGAAGUGCAUUGGAAACUGCGAGACUUGAGUACGGGAGAGGGCAGUGGAAUUCCUAGUGUAGGAGUGAAAUCCGUAGAUAUUAGGAGGAACACCGGUGGCGAAGGCGGCUGCCUGGACCGAUACUGACGCUGAGACGCGAAAGCGUGGGGAGCAAACAGG